This 200-nucleotide long non-coding RNA is filed under the name Vigna radiata. RNAcentral describes it as "long non-coding RNA (VRAD_LNC005155)". Lineage: Eukaryota; Viridiplantae; Streptophyta; Magnoliopsida; Fabales; Fabaceae. The record is from RNAcentral.
UUUUCCCAUAACGUCGGGUUACACGUCUCACUACAAUAAUUACAACAAAUAGAAUGUAUCCAACAUUUAAAAAAUAAAAAAAAGAAAUAAACAAAACAACACAAAAUCAAUCAAUCGUACUACAAAAGUAUACGAAAAGAAAUGUAAUAAAAACAUUAAAACAAAUUAUUUUUAUAAUAUUGGUUGAAAUGACAAAAACA